GAGUCAUUGUAGCAAUACAAGGCAGACGGCUCAGUAACACGUAGCCAACUUACCCUAUGGACGGGGAUAACCUCGGGAAACUGAGGAUAAACCCCGAUAGAUCAUUAUGCCUGGAACGGUUUAUGGUUGAAAUGAUUCGUCGCCGUAGGAUGGGACUGCGGCCUAUCAGCUUGUUGGUGAGGUAAUGGCCCACCAAGGCUAUUACAGGUACGGGCUCUGAGAGGAGAAGCCCGGAGAUGGGUACUGAGACACGGACCCAGGCCCUAUGGGGCGCAGCAGGCGAGAAAACUUUGCAAUGUGCGCAAGCACGACAAGGUUAAUCCGAGUGUUUCCUGCUAAAGGAAUCUUUUGUUAGUCGUAAAACCACUAGUGAAUAAGGGGUGGGCAAGUUCUGGUGUCAGCCGCCGCGGUAAAACCAGCACCUCAAGUGGUCAGGAGGAUUAUUGGGCCUAAAGCACCCGUAGCCUGCUCUAUAAGUUUCCGGUUAAAUCCAUUGGCUUAACUAAUGGGCUGCCGGAAAAACUGUAGAGCUAGGGAGUGGGAGAGGUAGACGGUACUCGGUAGGAAGGGGUAAAAUCCUUUGAUCUAUUGAUGACCACCUGUGGCGAAGGCGGUCUACCAGAACACGUUCGACGGUGAGGGAUGAAAGCUGGGGGAGCAAACCGGAUUAGAUACCCGGGUAGUCCCAGCUGUAAACGAUGCAGACUCGGUGAUGCCCUGGCUUGUGGCCAGUGCAGUGCCGCAGGGAAGCCGUUAAGUUUGCCGCCUGGGAAGUACGUACGCAAGUAUGAAACUUAAAGGAAUUGGCGGGGGAGCACCACAAGG
Molecule: ribosomal RNA, 825 nt
Filed under: uncultured archaeon
Lineage: Archaea
Description: bacterial SSU rRNA
Rfam family: Archaeal small subunit ribosomal RNA
Source: RNAcentral